Molecule: ribosomal RNA, 466 nt
Filed under: uncultured bacterium
Lineage: Bacteria
Description: partial 16S ribosomal RNA
Rfam family: Bacterial small subunit ribosomal RNA
Source: RNAcentral
GACGAACGCUGGCGGUGUGCUUAACACAUGCAAGUCGAACGGUAAGGCCCUUUCUGGGGUACACUAGUGUCUAACGGGUGAGUAACACUUGAGUAACCUUCCCUCAUCUCUGGGAUAACAGUCGCUAACGGUUGCUAAUACUUGUUAUGAGCUUUCUAUUCAUCUUGUUGGUUGGAAAGAUUUUUUUGGUUGGGGUUGGACUCGCUGCGUAUCAGCUUUUUGGUUAGUUAGUGGCUCACCAAGGCUUCUACGGGGAGCCGGACUGGUAGGGCGACCGGCCAAAAUGGGACUGAGAUAAGGCACAAACUGCGAAGGGAGGGAGAAGUGGGGAAGAUUGAAAAAGGGACGGAAGUCUGAUGCAGCAAGGCCGCGUGCGGGAUGACGGCGUUAGGGUUGAAAAACGCAUUCAAUAGUGACGAAGCUUAUUGUGACGGUAGCAGUAGAAGAAGCACCGGCUAACUACGUG